This 76-nucleotide transfer RNA is filed under the name Gammaproteobacteria bacterium. Its description in RNAcentral is "tRNA-His". It matches the Rfam family "tRNA". From Rfam's summary of the family: Transfer RNA (tRNA) molecules are approximately 80 nucleotides in length. Their secondary structure includes four short double-helical elements and three loops (D, anti-codon, and T loops). The record is from RNAcentral. RNAcentral also lists the same sequence under 8 other names. Lineage: Bacteria; Pseudomonadati; Pseudomonadota; Gammaproteobacteria.
GUGGUCGUAGCUCAGUUGGUAGAGCCCCGGAUUGUGAUUCCGGUUGUCGUGGGUUCAAGUCCCAUCGAUCACCCCA